UACAAACCCAGCCAUACAGAAAAAGAUUUGUGCAUGUUUCUCCACCAAACUAGGGAAUAUAGAGACCAGCAUGUUCAAAAAUCAUGAUUACUUCCAUGCUAUGGAUUUUUCAAGAUAUGCAGCAACAUGUGCCCAGAUAUCACAGAUUAGCAUCAAAAUCAACAUCUAUAACCAUUUUCUAAUUGUAGAAAGACCACUAACGUCAUACAUGUGUUUUCUCCACCAGGGAACGAAGCAAGGGUUCAAGAAUACAAAACUAUGAAUUGGGGACCUGUGGUUAAGGUAAUCCCGCCUGUUGGAGAUGUGUUGUCACAUGGACUUUCACACUUCCCACGGAGAACGUGGAUGGUCUGAACCCUCUGGAUGUCUUGGUACUGCUCUGGACUUGGAUUCCCUUGUAAUGGGCACAUACAAACUGAGAUGGGGCAGCCGAGCUAGGUGUUUUGUCCAGGGAGCAGCUUGUACCUUUGUGCCCAGUCAUCCCAGCUCAAACCAGGCUCCUUCCCAGAAAGCCCCAGCGGCUGGAUGCACAUAUGGCUCUGAGCAAACAGGACAGAUGGCUGCUGGCAAGGGCCACUGCUGAGGCAUAUGCUCUUUUGAUGUCCCUCUGCUCUUCGUGGGUCCGACACGGCGAGUUGCCACAUCUGUGCUGCAGAAGCGCAGCACCUCUGUGAUGUGCCAUUGCCUCUCACAGCUGCGUGUAGCCACAGGAACCGGGGCAAAUACAGGACUGGAAAGGACCUGACUAAGGUGGCAGCUGUUUCAGGCCCCCUGGGGCUCCUGCUACCAUCCCUAGGCAGCGAGACACCCAACUCCUGCACUCCUCUGCCCACAGCCUCAGCCCCACUGAAGAGAAGCACAGCAUCUCCGAUCUUCUGGGAAACCUCCUGACUGACCAACAGCUACGGGAGCCUGACUGGCCUGUGGGCUCCUCCUGGCAACCUGGCUCAUAGCUCGGAGAAGUAAAGUCUUGGCAUCAUCUAAGAAGAGAAAAAGCAAGUUUCUGAGCUU
This 1011-nucleotide long non-coding RNA is filed under the name Struthio camelus australis. RNAcentral describes it as "lncRNA (ENSSCUG00000011220.1)". Lineage: Eukaryota; Metazoa; Chordata; Aves; Struthioniformes; Struthionidae. The record is from RNAcentral.